UGAAUACGAGACGCUAAGGCGUCGAAGUAGUGUAUGUCAUACUUCCAAGAAAAGCUUGCACUGUCAUAGAUAAAAAACGCCUGUACCAUAACCGACACAGGUGGGUAGGUAGAGUAUACUAAGGGGCGCGAGAUAACUCUCUCUAAGGAACUCGGCAAAAUAACUCCGUAACUUCGGGAGAAGGAGUGCCUUAUUCGUAAGGUUGCAAUAACAAGAUCCAAGCAACUGUUUAUCAAAAACACAGGUCUCCGCUAAGUCGUAAGACGAUGUAUGGGGGCUGACGCCUGCCCAGUGCCAGAAGGUUAAAGAAGUUGGUUAGCAAUUGCGAAGCUGAUAACUGAAGCCCUGGUGAACGGCGGCCGUAACAAUAACGGUCCUAAGGUAGCGAAAUUCCUUGUCGGGUAAGUUCCGACCCGCACGAAAGGCGUAAUGAUUUGGAUACUGUCUCGGAGAGGGGCUCGGUGAAAUAGACUUGUCUGUGAAGAUGCGGACUACCUGCACCAGGACAGAAAGACCCUAUGAAGCUUUACUGUAACUUGAAAUUGAAAUUGGACUUUAUUCGCGCAGUAUAGGUGGGAGGCGUUGAUUAUAAUCUUGUGGGAUUAUUGGAGCCAUCAGUGAGAUACCACUCUUGUAAUGUUAGAUUUCUAACUUUGAAUCAUUAUCUGGUCAAAGAACAGUUUCAGGCGGGCAGUUUGACUGGGGCGGUCGCCUCCUAAACGGUAACGGAGGCGUACAAAGGUUUCCUCUGAACGGUUAGAAAUCGUAUCUAGAGUGUAAAGGCAUAAGGAAGCUUGACUGUGAGACCUACAAGUCGAGCAGGGACGAAAGUCGGUCUUAGUGAUCUGACGGUACUGAGUGGAAAGGCCGUCACUCAACGGAUAAAAGUUACUCUAGGAUAACAGGCUGAUCUCCCCCAAGAGUUCACAUCGACGGGGAGGUUUGGCACCUCGAUGUCGGCUCAUCGCAUCCUGGGGCGGUAGUACGUCCCAAGGGUUGGGCUGUUCGCCCAUGAGAGCGGUACGCGAGCUGGGUUCAGAACGUUGUGAGACAGUUCGGUCCAUAUCCGGUGUAGGCGUUAGAAUAUUGAGAGGAGCCUUCUUUAGUACGAGAGGACCGAGAAGGACAUACCUCUGGUGUACCAGUUAUCGUGCAAACGGUAAACGCUGGGUAGCUAUGUAUGGAGUGGAUAACCGCUGAAAGCAUCUAAGUGGGAAGCCCACCUCAAGAUAAGUA
RNAcentral lists this ribosomal RNA (1236 nucleotides) under metagenome. RNAcentral's name for it is "bacterial LSU rRNA". It matches the Rfam family "Bacterial large subunit ribosomal RNA", at positions 1564 to 2810 of the family's 2925-position model. The record is from RNAcentral.